This 457-nucleotide small RNA is filed under the name Pan troglodytes (chimpanzee). RNAcentral's name for it is "processed transcript". Lineage: Eukaryota; Metazoa; Chordata; Mammalia; Primates; Hominidae. The record is from RNAcentral.
CCACGAGGGGGCGGGGCCAAGAUGGCGCCGAGCGCCGGGUGAGCAGCGUCUCGGCUGCGGCAAGAGUUUUCCUGCUCCCCGCGCUCGGCUGGCGGGGGCGGGUCUGAGUGGUACCCCGGAGGAGACCCUUUGAAGGUCCCUUGUGGGGACUGGAAAGAGGACGGGUUUCCGUCUGUUACCCAGGCUGUUGUGCAGUGGCACCAUCUUGGCUCACUGCAGCCUCUAACUCCUCAGUUCAAGCGAUCCUCCCGCCUCAGCCUCCUAAGUAGCUGGGAUGACAGGUUCACACCACCACGUCCGUCUAAUUUUUUAAUUUUUGCAGAAAUGGGGGUUUCACUAUGUUAACCAGGCUGUCUCAAACUCCUGGCCUCAAACAAUCCCCCCACCUCUGCCUUCCAAAGUGCUGGGAUUACUGGGGGUCUCCGUCUCUCCACCGGGGGCUUCAUCCUUCCAGGGA